GGCAAACGGGUGCGGAACACGUACGUAACCUUCCUUUAAGUGGGAGAUAGCCCGAAGAAAUUCGGAUUAAUACCCCAUAAGAUUGUGGAGUGGCAUCACUCAGCAAUUAAAGAAUUUCGCUUAAAGAUGGGCGUGCGGCUGAUUAGGUAGUUGGUGAGGUAACGGCUCACCAAGCCAACGAUCAGUAACUGGCGUGAGAGCGCGACCAGUCACACGGGCACUGAGACACGGGCCCGACUCCUACGGGAGGCAGCAGUAAGGAAUAUUGGUCAAUGGACGCAAGUCUGAACCAGCCAUGCCGCGUGAAGGAUGAAGGUCCUCUGGAUUGUAAACUUCUUUUAUGUGGGAAGAAACCACUCUUUUUUAAGGGUGUUGACGGUACCAUAGGAAUAAGCACCGGCUAACUCCGUGCCAGCAGCCGCGGUAAUACGGAGGGUGCAAGCGUUAUCCGGAUUCACUGGGUUUAAAGGGUGCGUAGGCGGAUUAGUAAGUCCGUGGUGAAAUCUCCGAGCU
This 513-nucleotide ribosomal RNA is filed under the name uncultured Chitinophaga sp. Its description in RNAcentral is "bacterial SSU rRNA". It matches the Rfam family "Bacterial small subunit ribosomal RNA", at positions 97 to 609 of the family's 1533-position model. Lineage: Bacteria; Pseudomonadati; Bacteroidota; Chitinophagia; Chitinophagales; Chitinophagaceae. The record is from RNAcentral.